RNAcentral lists this ribosomal RNA (509 nucleotides) under uncultured bacterium. RNAcentral describes it as "bacterial SSU rRNA". It matches the Rfam family "Bacterial small subunit ribosomal RNA", at positions 10 to 507 of the family's 1533-position model. The record is from RNAcentral.
AGUUUGAUCCUGGCUCAGAUUGAACGCUGGCGGCAGGCCUAACACAUGCAAGUCGAACGGUAACAGGAAGAAGCUUGCUUCUUGCUGACGAGUGGCGGACGGGUGAGUAAUGUCUGGGAAACUGCCUGAUGGAGGGGGAUAACUACUGGAAACGGUAGCUAAUACCGCAUAACGUCGCAAGACCAAAGAGGGGGGACCUUCGGGCCUCUUGCCAUCGGAUGUGCCCAGAUGGGAUUAGCUAGUAGGUGGGGUAACGGCUCACCUAGGCGACGAUCCCCUAGCUGGUCUGAGAGGAUGACCAGCCACACUGGAACUGAGACACGGUCCAGACUCCUACGGGAGGCAGCAGUGGGGAAUAUUGCACAAUGGGCGCAAGCCUGAUGCAGCCAUGCCGCGUGUAUGAAGAAGGCCUUCGGGUUGUAAAGUACUUUCAGCGGGGAGGAAGGGAGUAAAGUUAAUACCUUUGCUCAUUGACGUUACCCGCAGAAGAAGCACCGGCUAACUCCGUG